CUUUCGUUCAGUUCGGACGCAGCGAAGACCCGAAGACCCACCAAACCAGUGAACAUACCUCUACUUCUUUUACGUGGUCCACGAGGCUGCUGACAACACGAGAAAAUGUAGACGAGACGGAUUCGGUGCGGAGCGCGACAGUUUACCUGAACCCUACGGGGUCGGUGCUUGAACAAUCCGUACGCAACCAUAAUCUGGUCUGAUUAGAGUUCGAAAUUUCUUCACACAUUUUGAACUAUUUGAGAAGAGCACCUCGAGAAUACAUGCCUUAGUUUAGAGCAGACUCGUAGUUUGAGGUCGAGAAUAAAUCGUCGGCACCAUCUUGUCUAAACGAAUUCUCUACCACGAGGGCACACGGAACGUUGGAAUUGAGAACAAAAAAAAAAACA
Frieseomelitta varia is the source of this 389-nucleotide long non-coding RNA. RefSeq lists it as uncharacterized. NCBI's taxonomy places the organism in Eukaryota, Metazoa, Arthropoda, Insecta, Hymenoptera, Apidae. The transcript is spliced from 3 exons. The record is from RefSeq and is a predicted model, not a curated record.